RNAcentral lists this ribosomal RNA (465 nucleotides) under uncultured bacterium. Its description in RNAcentral is "partial 16S ribosomal RNA". It matches the Rfam family "Bacterial small subunit ribosomal RNA", at positions 338 to 796 of the family's 1533-position model. The record is from RNAcentral.
CCUACGGGUGGCAGCAGUAGGGAAUUUUCGUCAAUGGGCGCAAGCCUGAACGAGCAAUGCCGCGUGAACGAGGAAGGUCUUCGGAUCGUACAGUUCUGUUGAAGGGGAAAAAGAGCGGAGAGAGGAAAUGCUUUCUGAUUGAUAUUACCCUUCGAGGCAGUCACGGCUAACUACGUGCCAGCAGCCGCGGUAAUACGUAGGUGGCGAGCGUUAUCCGGUAUGAUUGGGCGUAAAGGGUGCGUAGGCGGCCUGCUAGGGCUGGAGUGAAAGGUACCGGAUCAACCGGUACAGGCUCUGGAAACUGGCGGGCUGGAGUAGGUUGGAGGCAGGCGGAAUGCGUGGUGUAGCGGUGAAAUGCUUAGAUAUCACGCAGAACCCCGAUUGCGAAGGCAGCCUGCCAAGCCAUGACUGACGCUGAUGCACGAAAGCGUGGGGAUCAAACAGGAUUAGAUACCCCUGUAGUCC